Molecule: unclassified non-coding RNA, 265 nt
Filed under: fungal sp.
Lineage: Eukaryota; Fungi
Description: partial internal transcribed spacer region
Rfam family: Eukaryotic small subunit ribosomal RNA (bases 1-46)
Source: RNAcentral
AAGUCGUAACAAGGUUUCCGUAGGUGAACCUGCGGAAGGAUCAUUACCAACUGGCGUAAGCCAACCAACCUGUGUGCACUUUCCUGCCCGGUAGUGGGAGCCUGGGAACGACGCUGGUCUACCCCGGGUGAACACUGCCCAAUGUUGACCUUUUAUUGUAUUAUCAUUCCAUUAUUCGUCUGUGCUGCGCACUUGUGCAUGGCCAGAUAACUGAACAACUUUUAGCAAUGGAUCUCUAGGCUCUCAUAGCGAUGAAGAACGCAGC